Molecule: ribosomal RNA, 394 nt
Filed under: Salmonella enterica subsp. enterica serovar Napoli
Lineage: Bacteria; Pseudomonadati; Pseudomonadota; Gammaproteobacteria; Enterobacterales; Enterobacteriaceae
Description: partial 23S ribosomal RNA
Rfam family: Bacterial large subunit ribosomal RNA
Source: RNAcentral
GGGUUGUGAGGUUAAGCGACUAAGCGUACACGGUGGAUGCCCUGGCAGUCAGAGGCGAUGAAGGACGUGCUAAUCUGCGAUAAGCGCCGGUAAGGUGAUAUGAACCGUUAUAACCGGCGAUUUCCGAAUGGGGAAACCCAGUGUGAUUCGUCACACUAUCAUUAACUGAAUCCAUAGGUUAAUGAGGCGAACCGGGGGAACUGAAACAUCUAAGUACCCCGAGGAAAAGAAAUCAACCGAGAUUCCCCCAGUAGCGGCGAGCGAACGGGGAGGAGCCCAGAGCCUGAAUCAGCAUAUGUGUUAGUGGAAGCGUCUGGAAAGGCGCGCGAUACAGGGUGACAGCCCCGUACACAAAAGCGCAUGUGCUGUGAGCUCGAUGAGUAGGGCGGGACAC